This 1653-nucleotide long non-coding RNA is filed under the name Pongo abelii (Sumatran orangutan). RNAcentral's name for it is "lincRNA". The record is from RNAcentral. Lineage: Eukaryota; Metazoa; Chordata; Mammalia; Primates; Hominidae.
ACCUUGGGGAGGGGCCAGCUGCUGUGUUCCGUCCACCAAUGCAAACACUAAGCUCUUCCAGAAACGCCCUCACAGACACCCCGGAAGUCACGUACCCGCUCUCUAGGUGCCCUGGGGCCCAGGCAGGCUGACAAGCCAGUUAUCCCCCAGAGCUCCUGCUGCCUCGCCUGCUUUCUCUCGGAAACGGGAAGUGUGGCCUCAGCUGAAAGUGAGGUGGGCCUCAUCCAAUCAGUUGAAUUCUUCAAGAGAGAAAAACUGAAGUUCCUUAGAAGGAAAGAGUUCUGCCUUCAGACUGUCUUUGAACUUAAGACUGUAACAUCGACUCCUGCCGGAAUUUCCAGCCUGCUGGCCUGCUCUGCAGAUUCACACUUGCCAGCCUCCACAAUCGCAGUUGAGGUGGGGGAACCCUAAGGGCUCAUUGAGAUCAUGGAUUUGCCCUUCUAUGCAUUGAUGGAGCACCUGCUGCCCACAACGUCUGUAUUUGGUGCUGGGAUGCUGAGGACGCUGAGAUCUUCAAACAGUGGCUGCCCCUCUGAGCAAACAGAUCCCGAGUCCUGGACUCUGAAGCUUGGGCCCAGUUCUCCUUUUCUCUGGGUUUCAGAUCCCAUUGUGAAGUGAGGGGGCCCUUCUGAUUCAGGACCCGGGGAAGACAGGGGCACGAGCAUCAGUGCCUCUUCUCUAUUUCAAGGACCCUUCUGGGUGUAAAGUUCUCUGAGAUGCCUUACAUGGAUUCCAACCACUGCUAGAUAACCAUCGUAUGUAAAGUGUUAUGACCAGCAGAGCAUAAUUGAAGUGCAUUCCAGAGGGAAAGACAGCGGCUCAGUAAAUCAAAGGUUUCGCCAUCAUGUAAACCCUUGGGCGACAGUCUCCCUGUCUCCCCCUGAUAUUGUUCUGUGAGAUUUCGAUGCUAUCUUGGUUGCCAGCAGCCCUGACAAAGAUGCAUUGCAGAUGGAUAGCCUCCCAGGAACAUGCUUACCUCAGAGUCUGCUGCAGACUGAAUUGUCUUCUCCAGAAUCCAUCUGUGGAGGCCCUCAUCCCCAGUGGGAUAGUAUUUGGAGAUGAAGUAUUUGAAGGUGAUUAAGCUUAGACAAGCUCAGAGUGGAGCCUCAGGAUGGCAUCGAUGCCCUGGUAAGGAGGGACACUGAGACCUGGCCCUCCCUUGCUCUCCACCGUGUGAGGACACAGGAGAUGGUGGCCACCUACAGGCCAGGAACUGAACGCUAUGGGGCCUUGACAUUGGCUGUUCCAGCCUCCAGAAUGGCUAGGAAUAAAUGUCUGCUCUUUAAGUCCCUGGUCGGUGGAGCUUUGUUAUGGCAGCACCAGGGGCUGGUUGAGAGCCUUUGCAUGGCUCUUCUUCCACCUGGAAUGAGAUUUCUAACUCUUGGCUUCCUCACCCCCUUACCUCAUUGUAUCAUGUUGCAACCACCCACCCACUCCCCAUGUCUCUGGCAUUCUCAUUUGUUUUUUCUUUGAUUUCAUAGAACACAUCACAAAGCCAUUUUCUCAUGCAUGAUGUUUAUUGUCUAUUUUCUAUCUCCCUGCUAGAGGGUAAGAUGCUGAAGAACACUGCUCUAUCUGCCUCCCAGGACCCAGAAAAUGCUUGGCGUGUGGUAGAACUUAGAUAUAUUUGUGUUGAAUAAAUUAAUUGAAGGG